UCUCGAGUAGCUGGGACUACAGGCGCCCACCACCACGCCCAGCUAAUUUUUUGUAAUUUUAGUAGAGACGGGGUUUCACCGUGUUAGCCAGGAUGGUCUCAACCUCUUGACCUCGUGAUCUGCCCGCCUCGGCCUCACAAAGUGCUGGGAUUACAGAAGUGAGCCACUGCUCCCGGCCUAUGAUGGGUCAGUGUUUUAAAAAGCUCUGUGCGCCUGGAUGAGUGCCAGCCACCUCCAAAUGUCAGGCUUGUAAGUGGAAGAGACUUGCCUUGUUUCAGGUUCCCCUGACUAUGUCUACCAGUCUGAGCUAGCGUGUUGGAAGAUGAAUGACCAUGUGGAAGAGAAUGCAGGCAUCCAGAAGAUGGAAAGUUCCAAUAGUCCCAGCAGUUUACUGCAAAUGGAUGGUUGAACUCCAGUCCAGUUCAGCUAAGCCUCUUCAGACCAAACAGAACUGUCAGUUAGGUCCAGCCCAAAUUUCUGACCCACAGAACCAUAUGAAUCGCUGUUGUUUUAAGAUAUUAAACUCUGUGGGUGUGUGGUGUUUUAUCACACUGCAGUAGCUA
This 563-nucleotide long non-coding RNA is filed under the name Homo sapiens (human). Its description in RNAcentral is "HSALNT0070669". Lineage: Eukaryota; Metazoa; Chordata; Mammalia; Primates; Hominidae. The record is from RNAcentral.